This 1222-nucleotide ribosomal RNA is filed under the name metagenome. Its description in RNAcentral is "bacterial SSU rRNA". It matches the Rfam family "Bacterial small subunit ribosomal RNA", at positions 260 to 1478 of the family's 1533-position model. The record is from RNAcentral.
AUGGCCCACCAAGGCAUUGAUGGGUAGUUGGUCUGAGGGGACGACCAGCCACAUUGGGACUGAGAUACGGCCCAGACUCCUACGGGAGGCAGCAGUGGGGAAUCUUGGACAAUGGGGGAAACCCUGAUCCAGCGACACCGCGUGGGGGAUGAAGGCUUUCGGGUUGUAAACCCCUUUUCUGGGGGAAGAAUAAGGUUGGGAGGAAAUGCCCAUCCGAUGACGGUACUCCAGGAAUAAGCAUCGGCAAACUUCGUGCCAGCAGCCGCGGUAAGACGAAGGAUGCGAGCGUUAUCCGGAAUUACUGGGCGUAAAGGGCGUCUAGGCGGUUGGGUAAGUCACUUGUGAAAGCCCUCGGCUUAACCGAGGAAAGUCUCGUGAUACUGCCCAGCUUGGGUGUAGGAGAGGGGAGUGGAACUCACAGAGUAGCGGUGGAAUGCGUAGAUACUGUGAGGUACCCCGAUGGCGAAGGCAACUCCCUGGCCUACUACCGACGCUGAAGCGCGAAAGCGUGGGGAGCAAAGGGGAUUAGAUACCCCCGUAGUCCACGCCCCAAACGAUGUUCACUUGGUGUCGGCCGCAAAUAUAGGUCGGUGCCGGAGCUAACGCGUUAAGUGAACCGCCUGAGGAGUACGGCCGCAAGGCUAAAACUCAAGAGAAUUGACGGGUCCCCGCACAAGCGGUGGAGCACGUGGUUUAAUUCGAUAUUAAGCGAAGAGCCUCACCCAGGCUUGACAUACUAGUGGUAGGAACCUGAAAGGGGGACGACCCUGCCUUCGGGUAGGGAGCUAGUACAGGUGAUGCAUGGCUGUCGUCAGCUCGUGUCGUGGGAUGUAGGGUUAAGUCCCGAAACGAGCGCAACCCUUGUCGUUAGUUGCCAGCGGGUAAUGCCGGGGACUCUAGCGAGACUGCUGGUGAAUAGCCGGAGGAAGGCGGGAUGACGUCAAGUCAUCAUGUCCCUUAUGCCUGGGGCGACACACAUGCUACAAUGGGGGGUACAGAGGGUCGCAAUACCGUAAGGUGGAGCCAAUCUCAAAAAACCCUCCUCAGUUCGGAUUGAGGUCUGCAACUCGACCUCAUGAAGCCGGAAUCGCUAGUAAUCGUAGGUCAGCCAUACUACGGUGAAUAUGUACUCGGGGAUUGUACACACCGCCCGUCACACCAACCGAGUGGGGGGUACCUGAAGUCGUCUCCAUGAGGCGCCGAGGGUAACCUUCGCAAGAGG